Molecule: ribosomal RNA, 579 nt
Filed under: uncultured bacterium
Lineage: Bacteria
Description: bacterial SSU rRNA
Rfam family: Bacterial small subunit ribosomal RNA
Source: RNAcentral
GGGGUAGGAAUACGUAGGUAACGUACCCUCGGGGCCAGGACAGCCACGGGAAACUGUGGGUAAUACUCGAUAAACUUCCCAAUCAUUAUCGGAGGGGAAGCAAUGGGUGUGAUUCCACCUGAAGAGGGGCUUACGCCCUAUCAGCUAGUUGGUGAGGUAACGGCUCACCAAGGCUACCACGCUCACGGGGUGUGAGAGCAUGGCCCCCACCACUGGCACUGAGACACUGGCCAGACACCUACGGGUGGCUGCAGUCGAGAAUCUUCGGCAAUGGACGCAAGUCUGACCGAGCGACGCCGCGUGUGGGAUGAAGGCCUUCGGGUUGUAAACCACUGUCAGAGGGGAUGAAGUGUACCAUAGUUAUCUCUUGUAUUUGACAGAGCCUCAGACGAAGCACGGGCUAAUUUCGUGCCAGCAGCCGCGGUAAUACGAACUGUGCGAACGUUAUUCGGAAUCACUGGGCUUAAAGGGUGCGUAGGCUGUUAUCUUGGUCAUGUGUGAAAUCUCUCAGCUCAACCGGGAUACUGCGCUUGAAACUGGAUGACUGGAGUGAUGCAAGAGUGUGUGGAACUUCCGGUG